This 253-nucleotide ribosomal RNA is filed under the name uncultured bacterium. RNAcentral describes it as "partial 16S ribosomal RNA". It matches the Rfam family "Bacterial small subunit ribosomal RNA", at positions 524 to 776 of the family's 1533-position model. The record is from RNAcentral.
UACGGAGGGUGCAAGCGUUGUUCGGAAUCACUGGGCGUAAAGGGCGCGCAGGCGGUUUGGUAAGUCAGAUGUGAAAGCCCACGGCUUAACCGUGGAAGUGCAUUUGAUACUGCCAGACUUGAGUACCAGAGGGGAAAGUGGAAUUCCCGGUGUAGAGGUGAAAUUCGUAGAUAUCGGGAGGAAUACCGGUGGCGAAGGCGACUUUCUGGCUGAGUACUGACGCUGAGGCGCGAAAGCGUGGGGAGCAAACAGG